This 433-nucleotide ribosomal RNA is filed under the name uncultured bacterium. Its description in RNAcentral is "partial 16S ribosomal RNA". It matches the Rfam family "Bacterial small subunit ribosomal RNA", at positions 29 to 507 of the family's 1533-position model. The record is from RNAcentral.
AACGAACGCUGGCGGCAUGCCUAACACAUGCAAGUCGAACGAGACCUUCGGGUCUAGUGGCGCACGGGUGCGUAACGCGUGGGAACCUGCCCUUAGGUUCGGAAUAACUCCCCGAAAGGGGUGCUAAUACCGGAUAAUGUCUUCGGACCAAAGAUUUAUCGCGUUUGGAUGGGCCCGCGUUGGAUUAGCUAGUUGGUAGGGUAAAAGCCUACCAAGGCGAGGAUCCAUAGCUGGUCUGAGAGGAUGAUCAGCCACACUGGGACUGAGGCACGGCCCAGACUCCUACGGGAGGCAGCAGUGGGGGAUAUUGGCCAAUGGGCGAAAGCCUGAUCCAGCAAUGCCGCGUGAGUGAUGAAGGCCUUAGGGUUGUGAAGCUCUUUUACCCGGGAUGAUAAUGACAGUACCGGGAGAAUAAGCUCCGGCUAACUCCGUG